CGGGAGAGGGCGGCGGGGCGCAGGGAGCGUGCGCGCGGCCGCCGGGCGCGGGGGAGGGGAAAAGGAGGGGGCGCGCGGCGGCCAGCCCGCAGAAGCCGGGAGCCGCGCAGGAGGACGGAGCACCAGCCGGAGUCGGCGCGAGCAGAUCUGAUUUGUAUCUACUGUGAUCAGCACUCACUUACGACCUUCCAGACCCAGGACCCCCGAGGAACCAGGCUCCGCACACAAGAAGGCGGUUGUAACUUCCGAUUCCUUGGUGGAGGAAAACAAAACACUCUGGUCUUGCUUCCCAUGAUGCAA
Molecule: long non-coding RNA, 300 nt
Filed under: Camelus dromedarius (Arabian camel)
Lineage: Eukaryota; Metazoa; Chordata; Mammalia; Artiodactyla; Camelidae
Description: lncRNA (ENSCDRG00005008613.1)
Source: RNAcentral